Molecule: ribosomal RNA, 253 nt
Filed under: uncultured bacterium
Lineage: Bacteria
Description: partial 16S ribosomal RNA
Rfam family: Bacterial small subunit ribosomal RNA
Source: RNAcentral
UACGUAGGACCCGAGCGUUGUCCGGAAUUACUGGGUGUAAAGGGUGCGUAGGCGGACUUGUGCGUCGAGGGUUAAAUCUCCAAGCUUAACUUGGAACAUGCCUUCGAUACGGCAAGCCUUGAGUGUGAGAGAGGAUGAUAGAAUUCCUGGUGUAGCGGUGAAAUGCGUAGAUAUCAGGAGGAAUACCAGUGGCGAAGGCGGUCAUCUGGCUCAUUACUGACGCUGAGGCACGAAAGCGUGGGGAUCAAACAGG